CAAAUUUUAAAAUAAUAAUAAAAACGUGCACUACUCAUUUAUUUUACACUAAUAAAUUACAAAAAUCAUCCCGAAUCAUGGGUAAACAUUCAUAUAAACAUAUUUACAAUGCUGCAGCAAAACAAUUUUACAACCCUAUUUCUAAUAUUUACAUAAUUUUCAUUUAGAUCACUUUCGAUCUUUCGCAUUGGUAGUCCCCCUUGCGCAGGCGGGAUUUACCGGCGGGUGAACUGUCAUUUGAUCGAUUAGUCGAUCAAGCGAUCAGUCACCGAUGACAGGUUGUCAUACGGCAUCAAUGUGUAAAUAAACAUCUGUCAAAGCAUAUCGCCAUGAGCAAUGUUUAUGUUUCGCGUUAUUUAUGUUGUGUUGUGUGUUUUAUUCCGUUGAAAUUGGCCAAAUUUCAAUCGAAAUGAGGUAAGUAAAUAAAGAUAUCGACUAAGCAUAUCGACAUUUAUGCUUCCUGUUUUUCUUGUAGGUGUAUGUGUGUAUAAAAGUGGAUUGGAGCUCCAGUGGGUGGGUUGUUUUGCUGCCAGUGCCAAAAUCUUCCUGGGGAAGAUCUGCCUGCAGAAAACCCAUGAAAUCCCGGGAUUACCAUGCUAGCCAUCUUGUAUCCACAAGAUGCACUGCAGGCCAAUCGAUUCCUACUGGUGUGCUGGUUUGGACUGUAGCGGUGGUGGUCGGGGAGGAUUUGUACACCGAGUUCCAAGGACAAGUCUCGAUGACUCCUUGCCAACUCGUGCAUCCAUGCCCAGUUACCUGCUGUGUCAUUCACCAUUAUGGCACUAGGAUAAGUGAUUGUUAUUAUCCUAAAAAGAAAAAAUAAACAUUAUUAACUCCUUUUAGCGCCACAAGACCCUUUCUGGUCUGGGCAAAAAUAGGGAAUAGUUCUAUAAAAAAGAAAAGUUGUCAAUGUCAAACAUUUUAGUGGAUGGUAAGUAUAAGUGAGCUGCAUUUGACUUAAUUAUUACUACAUUUAUAUCACAGGUAAGUAUGUACGGUAAGUAUAGUACGGGUAGGGUGAUUAUGAUUUUUUAAAUACAAAUUUGGACGAACACGAACAAGUUAAAAUCGUUUGAACUAAUUUUGGUUUGUGUCCUCUCGUUCAGAACCUCUUUUGAUUUAACAAAUCCCUUGUAAAUUUACACUUUUCAUCGGUCUCGUAUCAAGUGUGCGGUUUUAGACAUUCGUGCUAAGCACGGAUCCCUGCCACCUCCCGUUGGAAAAUCCUUAGAUUUUCAUACUUUAAGCGAUCCUCCGAAUACCUUUCACGAUUUUACGUCGGUCGCCAAUUGUGACUAUGGCAUGACCAGACACUCCCGGGUAACUAACUCAGUAGCAUGAGACCCCUGAACUGUGUCGCAGGGCCGGCAUGUUACUGGGUAUUCGGAGGGGCUACGCGGACAAAGUAUGAAACACAGGAAUCUUCACAUUUUCUAACAUAUUUAUUUGCCCUUUUCUGUGGCGUGUGGGUGUGGGUUUUCACAUAUAUGUGGCGUGUAUGCGAGGGUUUAAAAUGUUACGGUACUCACUGUUGCAGCAGAUUCUUCUUCGGCGUCGCGACGCUGGCGUUGGCCCACACGGCUGCUCCUGCACUACCGUGUGGCCGGAAACUUGCGGCGCGGGCUGCAGACAGUGUUGUUGCCGCUUUGGGAGAAUGGCGGAUCUGGUGGCGUUCAUCAGCCACAUACGGCUCAGCAGGCGUUGCUGGCUCGUUUGGCUGGCAGGCGUCUUCCGUCGUUGACAAAAUCGGCUGACCGUGGCAUGGCCACCUUGGUCGAGCCGAGACGGGACCCUCCUUGGCAAUUAAGGCCACCGGCCUGAGGGAAUCGUCCCUGACGGACGAUCGAGGAUCAUUUACUAUUAGGCUCGGAAGCCAUCUUGACUUCCGAGCCGAGCCGUGUAAAACCGUUUUGCUUACGGUACGAGGUGUACAAAAUGUACAAAAGCACAAGAGCACAAGAGCACAA
Long non-coding RNA from Ochlerotatus camptorhynchus, 1967 nucleotides. RefSeq lists it as uncharacterized. The transcript is spliced from 2 exons. The record is from RefSeq and is a predicted model, not a curated record. Lineage: Eukaryota; Metazoa; Arthropoda; Insecta; Diptera; Culicidae.